This 246-nucleotide ribosomal RNA is filed under the name uncultured bacterium. RNAcentral's name for it is "partial small subunit ribosomal RNA". It matches the Rfam family "Bacterial small subunit ribosomal RNA", at positions 26 to 286 of the family's 1533-position model. The record is from RNAcentral.
AGAAUCAACGCUGGCGGCGUGCCUAACACAUGCAAGUCGAACGAGAAAGUGGAGCAAUCCAUGAGUAAAGUGGCGCACGGGUGAGUAACACGUGACUAACCUACCCUUGAGUGGGGGAUAACCUAGGGAAACCUGGGCUAAUACCGCAUAAUACCUUCGGGUCAAAGGAGCAAUUCGCUUAAGGAGGGGGUCGCGGCCGAUUAGUUAGUUGGCGGGGUAAUGGCCCACCAAGACUGUGAUCGGUAU